UACGAAGGGUGCAAGCGUUAUCCGGAUUCACUGGGUUUAAAGGGUGCGUAGGCGGGCAGGUAAGUCAGUGGUGAAAUCUCCGAGCUUAACUCGGAAACUGCCGUUGAUACUAUUUGUCUUGAAUAUUGUGGAGGUAAGCGGAAUAUGUCAUGUAGCGGUGAAAUGCUUAGAUAUGACAUAGAACACCAAUUGCGAAGGCAGCUUACUACACAAUGAUUGACGCUGAGGCACGAAAGCGUGGGGAUCAAACAGG
Molecule: ribosomal RNA, 253 nt
Filed under: uncultured bacterium
Lineage: Bacteria
Description: partial 16S ribosomal RNA
Rfam family: Bacterial small subunit ribosomal RNA
Source: RNAcentral